GAUGAACGCUGGCGGCGUGCCUAAUACAUGCAAGUCGAGCGAACGGACGAGAAGCUUGCUUCUCUGAUGUUAGCGGCGGACGGGUGAGUAACACGUGGAUAACCUACCUAUAAGACUGGGAUAACUUCGGGAAACCGUAGCUAAUACCGGAUAAUAUUUUGAACCGCAUGGUUCAAUAGUGAAAGACGGUUUUGCUGUCACUUAUAGAUGGAUCCGCGCUGCAUUAGCUAGUUGGUAAGGUAACGGCUUACCAAGGCAACGAUGCAUAGCCGACCUGAGAGGGUGAUCGGCCACACUGGAACUGAGACACGGUCCAGACUCCUACGGGAGGCAGCAGUAGGGAAUCUUCCGCAAUGGGCGAAAGCCUGACGGAGCAACGCCGCGUGAGUGAUGAAGGUCAUCGGAUCGUAAAACUCUGUUAUUAGGGAAGAACAAAUGUGUAAGUAACUGUGCACAUCUUGACGGUACCUAAUCAGAAAGCCACGGCUAACUACGUG
This 497-nucleotide ribosomal RNA is filed under the name uncultured bacterium. RNAcentral's name for it is "partial 16S ribosomal RNA". It matches the Rfam family "Bacterial small subunit ribosomal RNA", at positions 28 to 507 of the family's 1533-position model. The record is from RNAcentral.